CGUUAUUGUUCUUCUUGGUCACGCUGGUGCCAUUGAUUGAAUUCGUUUAACAAUUCAUUGAUUCGAUCUAAAAAUGAAUCAUCGAUAUUAGCAGGCGUCUAACUAUUCCCAAAUCCCUUGAGUGUUAGUGUUUUGUUGUGUUCCCAAUCUAAAAUCCUCGAAGAUUGUCCAUCCUUCAUGCUCACCUGCACUGUCGUGCUCAUCCUUACACUGUUGCUGUUGGGACUCGCUAUGUGAAUAAUAUGGCUGGGAUAGGGUGGCCUCAGAAUCAUCAUGUCUCUCAUUUUCUCUUUGAAUAAUAUGGAUUAAAAAAAAA
This 316-nucleotide long non-coding RNA is filed under the name Amborella trichopoda. RNAcentral describes it as "long non-coding RNA (ATRI_LNC001115)". Lineage: Eukaryota; Viridiplantae; Streptophyta; Magnoliopsida; Amborellales; Amborellaceae. The record is from RNAcentral.